This is a long non-coding RNA of Anthonomus grandis grandis, 650 nucleotides long. RefSeq lists it as uncharacterized. NCBI's taxonomy places the organism in Eukaryota, Metazoa, Arthropoda, Insecta, Coleoptera, Curculionidae. The transcript is spliced from 2 exons. The record is from RefSeq and is a predicted model, not a curated record.
GACGGUCCAAUGAUCAUAAAAACAGUACUACCAAAUGAUCGCUACAUAGUAGUUGAUAUGAUGGGGUCACGUCGUCUCACUCGAAAAGCGACAUAUGAAAAUGUUAUUGCGGUUGAUCGUAUGCGACCCUGGGUACCAGCUGGUGGAGUUUCAUCUGGUGAGUCGGAUCUGAGCAGUGAUGAAGAAGGGGUAGUUCUGUCCGAUCCUGAUGCUGAAGAUGCUGAUCAACUCGAGACGAGUUGAUAGCAGGAUGACCGAAUGUAAGACCCUGUUUAUUUUCUAAAGAAUUGAAAUAUUUUUCUUAGUCAUUAAGAUGAAAUUUAUCGGUCUGACCGAAAAGAGGUCCAGGAUAUUUACAAAACUAAAGCUAGCUCAGCGGUACCGUAAGUAAUCAAAUACGGUUUACACUUAGCGUUUCCCCUCGGGAAUUAUUUUUAUGGGUUUCGACAAAAGAGUGAGAUAAAUAUUUGGUUUAUAAAAUUCAUUUGAGUUUUGGUCACUAAAGAGUGAAGUUAUUUAAUAAAAACAAUAAAGGGUGUUGCGACGUGAAAUAAGCUGUGUUGGUUUGGUGUAGUGUUUUACUACAAGAAAGGGUCUACACGUCACCAUCUCUACUUUGGAGUCGCCCAAGCGCCCAGUUGUUUUACAAG